CAGAAGUGAUGAGACGGAGAUGAUUGGGUGUGUUUGGAUGGAGUGUGUGUGUGAGAAGGGGAACUGGGGUGGGGCUGUGUGUGGGGUGUGUGGGGGGCUCUCGUGGGGGCACUGAUGGCAGUGCUGAGCCAGGAGUGCAUCUGAGGCGUGUUGGGCACCUCGGGGCCCCUCUGCAACACUGCCAGUGAUUAAAGCCCCAAAAAGCCACCAGGAGAGCCCCAGGCAGCCCAAAGGUCUCCAGGGUCACCAGUGAUCCUCUGCUCUGAUCUCA
This is a non-coding RNA of Taeniopygia guttata (zebra finch), 271 nucleotides long. Ensembl annotates it as small Cajal body-specific RNA 7. The record is from Ensembl. NCBI's taxonomy places the organism in Eukaryota, Metazoa, Chordata, Aves, Passeriformes, Estrildidae.